RNAcentral lists this ribosomal RNA (397 nucleotides) under uncultured bacterium. Its description in RNAcentral is "partial 16S ribosomal RNA". It matches the Rfam family "Bacterial small subunit ribosomal RNA", at positions 523 to 918 of the family's 1533-position model. The record is from RNAcentral.
AUACGUAGGGGGCGAGCGUUGUCCGGAAUGAUUGGGCGUAAAGGGCGCGUAGGCGGCCCGGUAAGUCUGGAGUGAAAGUCCUGCUUUUAAGGUGGGAAUUGCUUAGGAUACUGUCGGGCUUGAGUGCAGGAGAGGUACGUUGAAUUCCCAGUGUAGCGGUGAAAUGCGUAGAGAUUGGGAGGAACACCAGUGGCGAAGGCGACUUACUGGACUGUAACUGACGCUGAGGCGCGAAAGUGUGGGGAGCAAACAGGAUUAGAUACCCUGGUAGUCCACACUGUAAACGAUGAAUGCUAGGUGUAGGGGGUAUCGACCCCUUCUGUGCCGCAGUUAACACAAUAAGCAUUCCGCCUGGGGAGUACGGCCGCAAGGUUGAAACUCAAAGGAAUUGACGGGG